This 459-nucleotide ribosomal RNA is filed under the name uncultured bacterium. Its description in RNAcentral is "partial 16S ribosomal RNA". It matches the Rfam family "Bacterial small subunit ribosomal RNA", at positions 338 to 795 of the family's 1533-position model. The record is from RNAcentral.
CCUACGGGAGGCAGCAGUGAGGAAUAUUGGUCAAUGGGCGCGAGCCUGAACCAGCCAAGUCGCGUGAGGGAAGACGGUCCUAUGGAUUGUAAACCUCUUUUGUCGGGGAGCAAAAGACGCCACGCGUGGCGUUCCGCGAGUACCCGAAGAAACAGCAUCGGCUAACUCCGUGCCAGCAGCCGCGGUAAUCCGGAGGAUGCGAGCGUUAUCCGGAUUUAUUGGGUUGAAAGGGUGCGCAGGCGGAAGAUCAAGUCAGCGGUAAAAUUGAGAGGCUCAACCUCUUCGAGCCGUUGAAACUGGUUUUCUUGAGUGAGGGAGAAGUAUGCGGAAUGCGUGGUGUAGCGGUGAAAUGCAUAGAUAUCACGCAGAACUCCGAUUGCGAAGGCAGCAUACCGGCGCUCAACUGACGCUCAUGCACGAAAGUGUGGGUAUCGAACAGGAUUAGAUACCCCUGUAGUC